UAUAGUUCCUGUAUUCAUUUAUUCCAUUACUAUAGAAUACUAUUGCGUUCUUUUUAAUUAAAUUAUAGAAUUUCAAACUAUAGAUUAUGCACGAUGAGUCUUACAAUCUAUUUGAGCGUAUAGUGUAGAGAAAAUUUUCCUGGUCACCCAUUCAUUUGGUUAAGAAGGAUUUGCUAACUUUCACUUGGAGUCGAUGAAAAGAUAACACCAUACGACAUUAACGCUGCAAAUGUGGUUAAGUUUCAUUAAAAACUGAUUCGAGCAUUAACACGCUAAUGGAGUAUAAUUAGAACAGCCUGUGAAACGAUUAUUUCCGAGUAAAGUCGUUUCUUUUCAGCUGUACAUACAAACAUGCAAGAACACUUUACGACGACGAUGUGCUAUUGUGUUUUUUGGCGUAUGGAGUUCCUCGUCAAGAGGAUAACAUUUUUAAUCUUGAACGAGCUGCGAGAAAAAAAAUAUUCUUUAUUGGAGAAAUUACGCAGGAAAGCAUUUGAAAUGAGAAAAUCUUUCAUUUGAAAUUUACAACAAAAUUAAUUUUAGUACCAGAAUGCACAAUUAGUGUUCCGAAAUUUUUAGAAUUCGACUGUCUUUAAACUUUCUGUCUGUUUUAAAUAUUUUUUAUAAUCGAAUAUUCUAUAAUUUUAAAAAUCUUCCUUUUACAAUACGAUUGAAAGCGUAAUGCGAUGAAAGAAACCAUCUUCGCGUUAAAUAAGAUCCACGCAAGAGUAACGAGAGACGGUUUCUGAGUCGAUAAAUUGGAAUGAUCGUUGACACAGUAAUCGAUGGUACACUCGAUAAUAAUUUCUUGAAGGCCGGCUCGAGAGGUUUGUCUUGCUGAAAGAAAUGAUAUAGAAUGGGGAAAAAAAUAACGGAUUAUUAUCUUUCAAGUAGCAUUUUAGACGGUCGUGCUUGGUUGACAGUUUCUAUUUCCAUGACCAUAUAAUCAGUCACGUUAGCUUGAAACGAUGGCGAUGAAUUACAGAUACGAUAAAUACACGUCCAUUAGAGAAUACACACAAUAUUCUCGUGCUUUUUAUUACUCGAUUAUACGUAUACAUGAACGGCAUCUUUGUGUCUUCCCAUGGGAAUAUUUUGUUAGCUCGAGUACGCUCUUUAUAAAAAGUUCAUAGAUUCCGAGUUUAAAAAAAAUUUUAUUUUUUAAUCAAUUGCAAUUAGGAAUAAGGAUACAGCAAUUCAAAUCUAAAAUAAAGAAAAAAGUAUCUAUUCCAACAAAUAUAAGUAUGUAUAAAACUAUAAAUAUAAUAAUUUUCUUACGGAAAAUUAUCUUCUUAUGCAACUUAUCUCCAACUUAUCUCUAACUUAUGAUCCGUAUUCAGAUAAAGGUAGAGAACGCUAAUCAAACUAUGUAGAAUUAAUUUGCCAUGGAUAAACACACGACACACCCUUUGAUUUAUAGAGCAUAGCACAGCUUCGUCUUGAAGUAUAAGCACUGCGCUUAAGGACCGCCAUUCAUUAUUCUUGAAAUCCAUCAGUGUCUAGGAGUGCCGCGCGAUGUAAUACUUAACUAGUAAACUUUCCAUUGACUUAAAAUUGCACUACAUCUAUGAAUGCGCGACAGAACUGUCUUAUCGAUAUCACGUUGAAAUAUACUCCCUGUCUCACAAGUUUCCGUAUAACUUUUAUUAUUGUUAUUAGAUAGAGCUUAUCGUAAUUCAUUCUAAUGAUAAACGCUACUAACUAAUAAAUCCGACUCUAUAAAUUCGUUUACAGACUUUACAGCAUAAGAGAGUGGCGUAAUCAAUAAUAUUUAGGUUCAAAAACUGAAAAAAUUUAAGGAAUAGCGUCUUAAACCGAAUUUCUUAUUUUUAACAUAGAAUCUCUGAAAUUCCAGGAAAUUUACUGCGCGUGAGAGUAAAUGCACAACAGGUUGUUGUUCAAAGGAAGCUCGAUGUGUGCGCAAACGGUAAGUGUACAAGUUUAGCGAAGUAUUCUUUCUGGUGAGAUGGCGAGAAAAAUGAGAAAAGCUGAUUACCUCAUUUUCUUCAACGCACCGAAAUAAAACGGAACAUUAAUGCGGUCAGGCUGAAAUAAGAAGCGGCAGCUUCAUAUGUGCUCCUUAUAGCAUCUCAAAGAGGGAUACUCGAAGAGCUUUAAUAAGUGGAGCACAACGGGUGCUGCUUUUGGGUCCUGCAUACACUGUAGCAUAUUAUUCUGUGACGGGAUGUCAGUACUUGACUACCACACCGUGUAACAUGGCAUAACAGCAUGCAUUAAUGCGACAAUGUAAUCAUUUGCAUAGCAUCGCGGUGUCGUCAGUAAAACUAACUUUAAAGCUUAAACGCGGUAUAAUUAGGAAAUUUUGAAAUUAGGAAGCGCAUCUGUAUCAGCAGAGGCUUGUAUACAUGCUACUUUGUAUAUUUUUAAAAAGAAUAGUACAAGUAAUAAUAGAAAAUCAAUUUAUCAUACAUCUUCAAAUUUUAUAAAAAUCUACUUCAUCUCUAUUUUAUCAAGAUGAAAAGAUAUUUUUGUAUAAAUCAAACUUUUAAUACGCUAGAUAUUUUGUAAUAUUCUACAUUCAGUAUUCAAUCCUUUUCCAUAAUUUUAACACUAAAUUAUAUAAUGUGAACGACCGAAUACUGCAAACUCAUUCAAAUACAUCUGAGAAUUGUCGUAUUCGCCCCGCAUUUUAUGCAGCCUCUUUUGAAUUUCCGAUUCGAAAAGUUCGCGUCAACGUGAACGAUAUUCAAGAUAUUAAACUGUGGGAAAAGAACGGAAAAUUUUUCAACGACCUAAAAGCUGCUCGAGUUCUAAGAAAUAUUUUGAGACGUUGAAAAUAUUACAUAUUUUCGUGUUCACAAAGCAUUCCGUGUCAAACUCGACGGUAUCUUUAUGUAUUUUCAUAUCUCUUUUCUUCAAUACCUUAAAAAUUGUCUUAUUCUUUUUAGAUAAAAUACUAUUAAAACUAUUAAAAACGUACCAAAAAGGUGUAUAAAAGUGCAUAAAAAUAUUUGACUAGGUCCAAAAUGUAAAGUUGGAGUUUCUAUCAAAGUUCACCCUUUAGUCUACAAAACGUAUGCAAAUAGUUAAUUAUAUAGCAACGUGUUUUGCUGACCGGUAACCAACCAGAAUUCGAUCAAUAAGUAGAAUAAAACUAAUUGCCAUUCUUUUCUAAUACUAAAAUGUGAAUGAAAAUCAAUACGAAAUUAAUCCUGUUCUGAAUUCGCAAAAUUAAAAUUUAUACACGAUAUCUACGAUGUCAAGCAAUUUUAAUAAUUCACAGCAGUAUUUUGUAAAAUUUAAGGAAGUUUUAAAUAACGUGAUUCGAACGUAUACAUUAUAAAUAUAUAUUACUUCGAACUGUUGAAUUUUUAAUUCUCUUUUUAUUUCAAUGGAAUAGUUCCAAAGACUAUUCAUUUACCAAUGAAUAUUCUCAGUCACUAAUGACUCCUUAUAUCGAUCGUAUCAAUUACUCACCCCACAAGGAGGUGCAUGACUUUUGUUUCACCAAUUUAGGCCAAAUUUCACGUAUAAUCAAUUUAACACGAUAUUCAAAUAAUUUAAUAAUUUAUUAUCCAAAAUUAUACUGUUCAAACAUAUGCAGUGCGGUAUAUUAUUCAAAUAUUUUGAAUUAAAAUACCCAUACCUUUUGAUUUAACAUUCUAAUGCCUAAAUCUUUAACAUCUGCAAAAAUACAGAUCAUUAUUAUAAUACAAUAUCUCUUAUAAUUUUUUCUAUAAAAACAAACUAAUCUUUAUUAUUGAUAUAAAAUUCCAAUCAGUUCAACGCAGCAUAAGUUCUCGUUACUUUUUGCCAAACAACAGCGGAAGAACAGUAAUCAACGAAGCAUGCAAAUGAAAUAGAUUUUCCGGUGAUUCGUCCAUCAUUGUCGCCGAAGCAGCAUACAACGAGCUCUAUGAAAGGAAAAAUCAGGUUUAUUCAGUACGACAAUCGCUGCACGAUUUAUCCAGCACAUGCUCGUGUUAUCGUGGCUGUACAAAAGCAACGGUGUACGUUGCUGAACUACUGAACCCCUAUUUUAAGCACCGCAGCUGUCACACGAAAUACGGUAAGAGAGAGGGUAUGCGUUUACGCACAAGGGCAAGACUGCAGCCCGUGGAUAAUCUGCUUUUACUAACAGCAUAUUACUAAGUUGAGGAUAUACCGGAUCUGUUCGAGAGACGCUUUCCUUGCUCCCUAAAAAUAUGCGCGCUCUCCACAAGGGUUGAAGUUUUCACUGAAAGUGAACUCGACCUCGGGUGGAUCACUUUUCCUGUAUCACUGCCGUGUUAGAUAUCUAAACAGGAGUUAAACACAAACGUUUUUAUUACAGACUUCGAAAUUGAAGGAUUUCGAUUGCAGACAUCUUAUAACUUCUAGGUAUAUUUUCAAAUUGAUUUCAGAUUUUAUCAUAACAUUCGUACCUCGUUACGAUGCUAAUGAAAUGUCAAGUGUUGUAUAACACAAAUAUCCACGACUACACUGCGGAUUUGUUUGAAUGUAUGAAAAAUUGUAAUGUGCAAAAAUAUACGAAAUAUACGUAACAAUGACAAAUAUAUAAAAAUCCAGCUUUCAUAUUUUCAUUUAAUUGCUUCACUUCUAUCGUCAACUAAUCUGUUCACCACAUUUUCCAUUAUAAACCAACAAGCAUCUAUACAAACAUCCCUACACACACUUCCUAAAAGAAGAAAAAGGGAAAGAAUGAAGAGAAAUUCCAACAGCGUGGCUUCUCCUUGUCGGAUCAGCUUCGAUCGAGACGAAGAUGGAAGUUCAGCACUGCACAAAGAAGGCAAGCACGAGGUUGACCACCUGCAAACUGCAGAGAGAGGGAGAGAGUGGCAUGCACCCCAGCGGGCGGAAGCUAUAGCUGGCACUGCGUGUUGUAAGACGCAAUGCGCAACAUUUUGCGGAGGCCUUCGUCGCUUAUCGGUCAGGAUAUCUCGCGUGAACCAGCCCGAAUCAAAGUGAAAUCCGUAUUGUCACUCAAAUCGGACAAACUGUGCGCGCCAUACUUUUUCAUUUUCCAGAGCGAAUCCAUGCUUCAGUUUACGAACCCAGUUGAGGAAGACUUGUAAGUUUCUAUCAUUGAUCCUGGCUUUCUUUCUCUCUUUCCUUCUGGAGUGGUUCUUCUUGAAGUAGAAAAUUAGUGAUCGAUAAAAGUGAGAUUAAAAUUUGUGGAACACUUUCUUUCAUUUAAAUAGGUGGUUCGAAUACUUUUAACAUAUUGAUAUUUCUUUUGAAAAAUAGAUAAAAUAUGAAUAGCUUGGAAAAAUGUAUUACAUACGGUGUAAUAAAAAAUUCAUACUGAAUUUUGUUUUUGGAAUUUUAAAAGUCUUUUUAGAAGGGCUAAGAAUAAUUUUAUCCAAAAAUUUCCUGUACUAAAACAUCGCAAUUUAUCCACCUGUGAUAUACACACUUGCGAUAAAUAGUCAUAAAGUUUCAAAAACACCCAUAAAGCCAACUGACAAUAGUUUGCGGCGCAUGUAUAUCAUAAGUUUCUCGAUGUUCACAGUUUUUAAUAUUCGCAUUAGGAUAUAUCUCGACUAUAAAGUCUGUCGACGUAUUUGGCAGAACAAAGGAGUUUCAACAACUUCCGAUUCGAAAUAGUUCCAGGUUUGUCCCGUAAAGCAAAUUUUCCAUGCAACAGAGUAACAUAAAUAAUUUCCAUCCAAAAAUGAGAACAUAUUCCAGUCUCGUACAAAACAUGGCAAUUGAUCCAGAUUGUCAGCGAAGAGAUUAAUCGAUCGGAACCCUGUGUUCAUGCAGGAUUUAAUUACAAUCUACAAUUUCAAAUAAGGUAAUAAUUCUUAAAAAGAUGGGGAUGUAAGGCCGCGUUCACGACAUCUUUCUGGGUAAACGCACGCUCUUUGGAACGAUUCGAUAAAUCGGAACGAGGAUAGGCAGACGGGCGGCAGAAUGCGGCAUUGGCGAAAAAUCGCGUCGAAAAAUUGGCAAAGCAGGGCGACUUGUCUGUGCAUUUCGGUCGAAAGUAAUCGUCCAACUAUCAUGCAUUCGUUUUUUCUUCCCCUGGCAUCGAAUCGAUAUCGUACCAUCCGCGCGCGAUCGAAAACCUUCCUACUGGCUUAUCGUAAAAACACCCAUUCAAUCGUUAGUUAUCAAAGUUAAAUUCAAUUUAGAAUUCACAAUUUUGUCCCAUUUUGAUAAGAACAGAGAAAUCGACAGAAUUAGGAUAAAUAAGUUAAGGAAAACGACGAUUCGAAACGGAGAGUUCGUGCACCACGUUUUUUUAUGAAACGAUAACUUAAAUUAUUUUCAUCCACAAUUUGAACUAUUUUUAUUCAUAUACUUGUAAAGCUGCGAGUAAAUCGAAUAGAUUUAGAACAAUUUAGAACAAAUAGAAAAAGAAUUUAAAAUAGAGAUUAUUUGUUAAAAUAAGAGAUAGCAAUUUACUGCACUUUUGCGUUUGAGAUUAUUUCAAUUUCGAAUAUUUUAUGAAAAAGUAUUGCGCUAAGAGAAAAUUUUGAUAACAAUGACAAGCGAAUAAAGCGUGAAACACAAGAAUGUAUUUUAAGAACUUCAUAUGUUUUCUUCCAUCCGUCUUCACCCAAUAAUAAUGCCAUACUGGUCCUCAUAAGUGCACACAGGUGUGAACAUGAGGUAAGUACGCUUUAGUUUCGACAAUAAUAGUCUCUACCCUGUUUAUGAUUCAUUAGAAGUAAAAAGAGCAAUGUACUCGAUGGAAGUGGUACUUUAUCCUUUCGAGAAACAACUGAAGCAAGAACUGGAGUCAUUCGAAUUAAAGUGAUUUAUAGAUCUGAUCGUAUACAUCAUAACAGUAACGCAGAAUCAUUCCAAUGAACUGAAGUCUACAGAUCAAACAAUUGUUCUAAUACGUUUGGACUUUGUACAAACUUAUAUGUAUUAUAAAUAAAAAUAUAAAGAAAUAUGCAAAAACCUUUGAAAAGAUCUGAUAUAUUCAACAUAACAUGUUCAACCAUGUGCCCCAUGAAGAUUAUUAUUAAACGCUUUCAAAAUGCGUGUUACCACACCAUGAAACCAGUGCACCUUUCGCAACACUCAACGCUUCCCACCGAAACAAGCAUGUUCAAGGUUCGUUAUGCCAGGGUUAUUUAAAUCACCGCUGCUCUCACCGUAUUGUUUACGCUCAAUAGAGAACGCAGGACGUGCUUAACCUAACCCAAUGCUAGCUUUUUCUUUUCUACCGUCGACGAAAGGAGAUCCCCAGAGGGAAUCGUGGGGACAUCGGAACAGGAACGUACGAAAGAACGAAACCAACGGUGCAUCGACCCUCGAACACGUGGCAUCGUCGUCGAAUUCGAGCGUGUGUUUCUCCUAGGACCAUAUGCGCUUGGCUUCCUGGCCGCACUUCGCUUACAAGUGCACUUCAUCGUCGGCUAAAGCCGACGACGGGUGGUUAUUUCAAGGCGAACCCCUGAAAAAAAAGAGAAAGUUCCCUCCCUUCGCCCUUUGUCUAACGCCGCUGACUCAGCCAGCCACUAUGCUAGACUGCCAAUACCAGCACACAGAAAUUGCUGAAUUUCUUCUGUUUAACCUGGAGAAGCUUGUGCCGACUCGAAAUCCUCGUUGGUUCGCUAUUACGAGCAUAACGUGAAGCUCGAUCCCUCGUGGACAUACUGUGACCUUUAUCUUAUACCUAUACUUAUAUAAUGACUUGAAUGUGUUAAUUGUUGGUAUAUAUAGCUCAUUAUGGCCAGGUUUGGGUUUAUUAAGGGUAGAAAGCUUGGUUCUUGGAUUUGCGUAUCGUAAAAGAGUGAAUGGUAGCUUUAAGGAUCCUUAAUUAUGAUUUGAAGAAAGUUUUGAUGGUUGAUUGUUUUGCGAGAGAAUUCUAUUUUUUUGAAAUUCAUUCUCAAUUCUUUCGGUCUGCAUUUGAUAGCAAUAGACUGCAUAACUCCUAUAAAAGCAGCCCCAAAACUUUUGCCAUUUGCUCCUACCCUGAACUCACGGUUUCUAGCUAAAACAGCUAUUAAAAUCGACCCGGAACUUUCGAAUUAAAUACACUCACGUAACACGUCAAAAGCAGAGAAUCUACUGGAUAUCAGUCGGCAUAGUACAUCGAUAAGAAAGGUAGUAUAGUGGAUCGAUUUUCAGUGAACGUAUUCCAAGAAAUUGGUCGAGUUCAACAGCCACGAAGGGAACUCCAAGAUUACAAGUAGGCGACAAAUUAAGUGAAUAAAUAAAGAGAAAUUAAAUUAAGUAAAUCAAGGGGGAUUAAGUCGCAAUCUUUCACUGGUCAUAUACAAUUGAUAGUUGAAAAAAGGUUCAACCCACGACGGAUCAAUAUGAUUUAAUUAAUUAAUAUCAGUAUUAUCGAAUUUACUGAAUUAAUAUUUUAACAUUAUAUAUUUUUAAUUUUUAAACAAAUAAUUAAAGACUAGUUCACCCAUUCCCAGUUCAACAAAUCUAACGCAAAUUUACCGCUAUCAAAUAAACGAAAUAUCGAGCACACGCGAGCAUAAAAUUUCAUUAUUACAUGGAAUGAUUGUACGUCUCGUAUGGGUUGCGUCAUUAAAAAUCUAAAUUCGCUAAAUCGCAAAACGUCACCGGAUGAAAUAUCGGAGCGGCGCGACGUAUCGCUCGUCUGCAUCGGGGUUAAUGUCACUAACAUGCUAUUUUAUUUACGUUCCGGUCGCGACACUCACUGAACAGUACAGCGUCAUCCAACGUGCACCUAUCCUAAAGGAGGAUGCGUGGCAGUUUCCGCGGUUACGAUUUCAUUCGGCUUUGGAGCGCAGGCGGUGGCUUCUGAAUUCCAGUCUCGACCGUGAACCUCGUUCAUUUCGGUCGGCUGCACUGGCAGAUAGCCAAAUAUCUCUUCUUCCCUCCUGGUAACGUGUCUAAACGGCUACUGCGAGACGGAGUACAGUCCGACUCUGUAUUCUCCAAUGCAAUCGCGUUCAAGUACAUUACACCGGAGGUCCAAUGCCAAUCCGAGUCGGCGCUGCUUGUCGUAGCGUCAAACCAGUUUGUCGCCGAUAGACGCGGCCUUCUGAUGUAAACGUCAAAGAAAAAUCAGCGGGCUACGCUACCAGUUACGUCAUAUCAUUCUCAGGAAACAGAAUUUCUCUAUUUUUGAAAGAUUCUUGAUUGAGAAUGAGUGACUGGAAAUGAUAACUAUGAGAUGUUAUAAUAAGUAAGUUAUUCUGAAUGUUCUGAAUGUAACUUUGAGUGAUUUAUUUUGAUUCUAUAUUUAUAAUCUUAUUCGAAAGUUUCCAUAAACGAAUGAUGAAGCUUCGGUUAUUUGAUGGAAAUUUUACUUACUAACCGAUUAAAUUAACUCAUGCUGAUUGAAUUCACUUAUCUGGACGUGAACUCUUAUCAGAUCCACGAAAAAUUUGUUGUUGCGUAGAGAAUCAGUGAUCUAUCUCCUAUUAUGUGAACUCUAGUUAUAUAAAUCGCUGGUUUUCCGAAAGAUGUAUAUAAAUAAAAUUUUACUCCAUAUAGCAAAAA
This is a long non-coding RNA of Bombus huntii, 9411 nucleotides long. RefSeq lists it as uncharacterized. NCBI's taxonomy places the organism in Eukaryota, Metazoa, Arthropoda, Insecta, Hymenoptera, Apidae. The transcript has 4 exons. The record is from RefSeq and is a predicted model, not a curated record.